GAUGAACGCUGGCGGCGUGCCUAAUACAUGCAAGUCGAGCGAACGGACGAGAAGCUUGCUUCUCUGAUGUUAGCGGCGGACGGGUGAGUAACACGUGGAUAACCUACCUAUAAGACUGGGAUAACUUCGGGAAACCGGAGCCAAUACCGGAUAAUAUUUUGAACCGCAUGGUUCAAAAGUGAAAGACGGUCUUGCUGUCACUUAUAGAUGGAUCCGCGCUGCAUUAGCUAGUUGGUAAGGUAACGGCUUACCAAGGCAACGAUGCAUAGCCGACCUGAGAGGGUGAUCGGCCACACUGGAACUGAGACACGGUCCAGACUCCUACGGGAGGCAGCAGUAGGGAAUAUUCCGCAAUGGGCGAAAGCCUGACGGAGCAACGCCGCGUGAGUGAUGAAGGUCUUCGGAUCGUAAAACUCUGUUAUUAGGGAAGAACAUAUGUGUAAGUAACUGUGCACAUCUUGACGGUACCUAAUCAGAAAGCCACGGCUAACUACGUG
RNAcentral lists this ribosomal RNA (497 nucleotides) under uncultured bacterium. Its description in RNAcentral is "partial 16S ribosomal RNA". It matches the Rfam family "Bacterial small subunit ribosomal RNA", at positions 28 to 507 of the family's 1533-position model. The record is from RNAcentral.